Molecule: ribosomal RNA, 516 nt
Filed under: uncultured bacterium
Lineage: Bacteria
Description: bacterial SSU rRNA
Rfam family: Bacterial small subunit ribosomal RNA
Source: RNAcentral
GGACUGAGACACGGCCCAGACUCCUACGGGAGGCAGCAGUGGGGAAUAUUGCACAAUGGGGGAAACCCUGAUGCAGCGACGCCGCGUGGAGGAAGAAGGUCUUCGGAUUGUAAACUCCUGUUGUUGAGGAAGAUAAUGACGGUACUCAACAAGGAAGUGACGGCUAACUACGUGCCAGCAGCCGCGGUAAAACGUAGGUCACAAGCGUUGUCCGGAAUUACUGGGUGUAAAGGGAGCGCAGGCGGGAAGACAAGUUGGAAGUGAAAUCUAUGGGCUCAACCCAUAAACUGCUUUCAAAACUGUUUUUCUUGAGUAGUGCAGAGGUAGGCGGAAUUCCCGGUGUAGCGGUGGAAUGCGUAGAUAUCGGGAGGAACACCAGUGGCGAAGGCGGCCUACUGGGCACCAACUGACGCUGAGGCUCGAAAGUGUGGGUAGCAAACAGGAUUAGAUACCCUGGUAGUCCACACCGUAAACGAUGAUAAGGAGGUGUUGGAGGAUUGACCCCUUCAGUGCCGC